This 72-nucleotide transfer RNA is filed under the name Asthenactis papyraceus. RNAcentral's name for it is "tRNA-Leu". It matches the Rfam family "tRNA". Rfam says of the family: Transfer RNA (tRNA) molecules are approximately 80 nucleotides in length. Their secondary structure includes four short double-helical elements and three loops (D, anti-codon, and T loops). The record is from RNAcentral. RNAcentral also lists the same sequence under 1 other name. Lineage: Eukaryota; Metazoa; Echinodermata; Asteroidea; Spinulosida; Pythonasteridae.
AUUAAAAUAGCAAAAAGGUAAAUGUGGGAGAUUUAGGUUCUUUUAUUAGAAGUUCGAUUCUUCUUUUUAAUU